CAGUAAUUGUAAUUGCGUUACUUGAUUUACAAAAAUACUUCGUUACAUGCUCGUUACCACUAAAAGUAGUGGAAUUACAAUAACGCGUUACUUUGUAACGCAUUACUCCCAACACUGCUCUUCACUUUCUCCAG
Molecule: long non-coding RNA, 134 nt
Organism: Alosa sapidissima (American shad)
Lineage: Eukaryota; Metazoa; Chordata; Actinopteri; Clupeiformes; Clupeidae
Exons: 3
Source: RefSeq, a predicted model, not a curated record